Molecule: non-coding RNA, 1047 nt
Organism: Odocoileus virginianus texanus
Lineage: Eukaryota; Metazoa; Chordata; Mammalia; Artiodactyla; Cervidae
Source: RefSeq, a predicted model, not a curated record
UCCAGAUUUUGGGGGUGGGUGGGUGGGUGGGAAGUGUUAUGAAAUUGUCUUUCUCCAGGCCAGAAAUAACCUGGGGAAAUUCUAAUCCAAGAACUGUGUGUUGAGCUGUUCCUUUUGAGCCAGCAUCACUUGUCAGUUAGCACCUGGUAUAAGUCUCAGCGUCCCCAGCGGUGUGAUGAGGGUUAUUUUUAUGGCAUUCCAUUUUCCUAAUGUCAUGUGUGAAAUUGGAUUUUCAUGAACUUAACCAAUGUUUUACCCAGUCAGGACUUCUUUUUCAACAUAGGGCAUCUCUCACUGGAAUGCCAGAGGGGAGGCUGGUUCAGAGAGAUAAAUCCCUGCGGAGAUAAGCUGUGAGUCACCCAGUGAGUCACGGAGGCCAGCAGCAGAGGAGGCAGGACCCACCAAGGUCUGCGGCAGAAAUAGUAUAGAGGCAAUACCUGGAGUUUCAGCAGCCAUCUUGUGACCAUGAAGUCAAUAGCCAUUUACCAAGGGUGGCAAACAAGAAAAUUAGCAAGAACCUGAGCCCCUGAUCAUGUGGAAUCAUCUCACCAGCUUUGGACAGCUUCUGGCCUACUGGAGAAUCUAAAGAAACUGAGAUACGGAGGUUAAUCUACUUCUGAAACAUGUCGCAACUAACCAGCAUCCGGGAUGGUCCAGAUGAUCCUCACCUCUUGGGUGCUCACACCUUUGUGUAAUCUUCUCUUACCCUGAAUCAGGACUGGUAUGUAGGGCAUGUCACAGAAGUCAAAGGGAAGCUUCAUAUGCCAACUGAAUGGGUCUCUUUUUCAUCAUUUUCUGUAACUUUCUUUUACAAGAUUCAUUAUGACUCUGGAAAUGUGGUAACAUCUGUCAUAAGGGACUCUAAUAAAGAUGAAAUCUGAAACAACUGGAAGAGGAAGCAUGGGUUAACGUUCCGGAGUCACUAGGAGUUAAUCACUCAGUACAGAUGAAAGCAAGAAGCUCAGGCUCCCAGUUGAAAUCGGGCACUUUCUGAGAUGAGAGUUCGCUCUGCGAAGGUCAGAAGAACUAAGGACACCGAAGGAGAGC